CACCGAUAGCCUCCCCACCAACGCCACGCCGCCACACCACGUCGGAGGGGUUGGCGAUGUCGCUGCACGUGACAACGGUCCCAUCGUCCUCGUACACCUCUACCUGGCCGUUGAUGCAGUUGCGGAUGAUUUCUGAACCAAGGACCUGGUGAUACGAAGAGUAUUCGUUGACAAGAAUUUUUUUCAGCCCUCCACAACUAGUCACCCUUCGCAGCUGUAUUCAUUCAUCUGUCCUUGCGUUUGAGAGACCCGUGGUAAAAGUUCUCGAACAUUCAAACCUCCAGUACCUAGCGACCUGGAAUUGUUCCAAGUCUGCACCCGACAGGCUUUACAAAUGGGGGAUUGUGAUUCAAGUGCCUCCGGUCGAGUUUGCAGAAGAGUGCACACGGUUGUUUGUACAGCAGACGUCAACUUAGCACUGGACAGGCAAAGGAGAGAAGGAAGGAAUGAAUGUGUGUAGCUUAUCUCUUUAUCUGUCGAACUUAUUUAUUCUAGAUAGUUUUCUGAAGCACUUUAGAGAGUGAAAUUGAAUUUUCCAGGGUGAGUAUUCAAAUGGAACGAUAUUUAUUAGAAUCAUUUUUGUUAUGCACGUUAGCUUAUAUAUGAAAAUAUUAGUUUUAAUGUUACGUAUAUAUACUCCUGUAAAUUAUUUUUAUCCAACAUUUAUUACAAAAGAUUUUGUUGUAGCAUUCAGUUUAAAGUGAUAAUGAAAAUUAACGGACAAUUUCAAGGUGCAUACACAUGUGUUUCUGGCUUACGAGUACGUGUCCUAACAUUUUUGUGCAUGUUUUCAACCGUUUGUAUUUUAAGGAAGUCUCCUAGAUCGUCUUUGAAAAAAAAAUGUUUUAAAUUUUACGAUGAUCUGAUUCUGGCCGCCAUAACCUAGCUGGAACACUGAAUAACCUAUGAACUCUUCCUGAGGGGCAGGCGUGCACACGAGGGCAACGGUACAAACAGAAGAUCUGUUAUUGUCGUGGACCACCAGAGCUUGUGACAGUGUUGGCGGCCAUACCCACAAUGGCCACCAUGGGAAGUUGUGCAAUGGAAGUCAGCAAUUCUAUGGCUAUAAAUAGAAUGACUUAAUAUUAUGUCAGCAUUUCAUAUUUAAAUAUUUAAAAAAAUUAAUCAUGACUUAUUUCUAGUCUGACAUAGCUUCAUCUGUGCACGUGUACGUCUUAAAGUCAACACGUUUGUUCGCUCACGCGUUUUUGAGUUCGUUCGUCUGUUUGUUGUCUGUUAUUGUGUCGAUGAUUCCGUCCAUGAACUGUUUUUGCGUUAGUAGGUCUGUCUGUAAGGAUGUCUGUCUGUGACUUAAUUAAUUUCAGUAGACCUGUAGACGACUUUGUCUUCUCUUGAGUUUGUCCAUGCUUUCCUUGUUGCGUCACUGCGUCUUUGUGGUGUCUUUUGUCAGGAGAUACGUUCGUCCGUGUUUCAAAGUCACUACGUCCAAACAUGAGUACGUCUUCGUGUAAAUACGUUUGGUUAUAAGCACGAAAGUACGUUUGUUAUCGAGUGCGCUUCUUUCUCUUUUAGUACGUCUUUACGUCACUGCGUUUGUCAACAAGUACGUCUGUACGUCAGAGUGUUUGUCAACGAGUACGUCUGUACGUCAGAGCGUUUGUCAACGAGUACGUCUUUACGUCAGAGCGUUUGUCAACGAGUACGUCUUUACGUCAAAGCGUUUGUCAACGAGUACGUCUUUACGUCAGAGCGUUUGUCAACGAGUACGUCUGUAUGUCAAAGCGUUUGUCAACGAGUACGUCUUUACGUCAAAGCGUUUGUCAGCUGGUACACCCUAACGUAAGAUCAUUUGUCAAUAAGUGUUUUAUCGUUUCAGCACGUCUGUCUUUGAGUAUGUCCGCACAUCAUGUCUUUGCCUUUUCACGUAAAAAUGCGACCUCUCAACAAGUCUCGUAAACGUUAGUUCGUCUGUACGUAUGUCAGUAAUUCUUUGUUCAUGCACGACUUCUGUUUGUUACCUUGACACUAUCGUCUGUUUGUGCAGUACUUUGACAUCACGUGACUACGUUUGUCUAUGACUUUGUUUUGGUAUCAGUGCCUUUUGCAAUGAGUUCGUCUUAGCUUCUGUGUGUCUGUACGUCCUUUGGUAAUUAUGUUUGUACAAGUUCUCGUCAAGCCUCUCUGUACAAGGCACACAGAUGGUUGGUAAAAAUAAUCCUUCUAGCUGCAGAACGACGGAAGGAAAGAGUUGCUUCUAGGAAGUUCCAAACCUAAUCAUAUCUUCACAUUCUCCUCAGAACAAGUUGCUAUCAUUGGGGGAAUUGUCGGUGGUGUUGCUGUCAUUGGUAUCGUCGGCAUAGUUGUAACCGUCGUUAUGCUCAAACCUUCGAAAGUAGGUGCCAUGCCCGUUACAUCAAGUUCGACAUAGGGACUGGGUGAUGCUGAGAACACAGCAACGACACAACAGACGAUGAAAUGAGAAAAGUUUGAUUUCUUCACACAGUCUGUCUUCUGAAAGAUUUUUGAUA
This 2489-nucleotide long non-coding RNA is filed under the name Pomacea canaliculata. RNAcentral describes it as "uncharacterized LOC112568192, transcript variant X1". Lineage: Eukaryota; Metazoa; Mollusca; Gastropoda; Architaenioglossa; Ampullariidae. The record is from RNAcentral.